UGCUGGUACUAUGUGUUCUCUUUUCAUGGUCCUCAUCGCCACUGUGAUUCUCUCGGAUUCUGGGUUAACCUGCUACCAUGGGGAGUGCACAUCAGGUAUUGUGCUCUCUCCUCCAAUCAUUCCAAACCCUGAAACCAAUAACUUGCUCAGUGAACGAAGUGAACAAGUGCUGACCCAUUCUUAUUUGGAUCCUUUUGUCUUUGCACAAUGGUUAUGUCUUGUUUGCACCUCUGUCCUGGAAUCAAACUUUUUACAGUCUGAUAAAUCUCUUGUCAUGUUGCAUGCUAGAUUACACUCCAAAACAGAAACACCUAGCAACCCUGAAAUUAGUAGGAAAAGAUUUCUGUUGCUACUUUUACUCUUGAUUUCUGGUAUCCAGCCAAAUCCUGGUCCUGGCAUUGCUAUUUGUAACACACCUGCUGAAUUUAAGGAUAGGACCGGGCUAGGUUUAAUACAUCUGAAUAUUCGUAGUCUGCCAUCAAAGAUUGAUAUGCUGCAUAUCUGGGCAAAAUCAACUGAUGCAGAUGUCAUUGUUCUGUCGGAAACGUGGCUCAGUAAAUCUUAUUCUGACAAAGCAAUCGCCAUCAAAGGGUAUAAUGUAUUUAGGGCUGACCGUCCUAGGAAAGGGGGCGGGGUUGCAAUUUAUUGUAAAUCAAAAUUUAAUGUAAAUGUCCUGCAGUCCAAAUCAAUCAGUAAACAGUUUGAAUUCUUAGCCAUAAAACUUGAUAUUUCAAAUGGGUUUUCCAUCACUGUUGUGGGCUGCUAUAGACCCCCAUCAGCUACUGCUGAAGCGCUAACUUCUCUGAAUCAGCUAUUAGCUGAACUGACCUAUAAUGAAAUAAUAUUAACUGGUGAUCUAAAUUGGGAUUGGCUAAAUUCUAACUCUGAUGCCUUCAAAGAUUCCUGUGUUUCAUUGAAUCUUACGCAGCUCAUUGAAAGCCCCACACACCCAAAUUUGAAGUGUCCAGAUAAAUCAUCUUUAAUUGUCUUGGUCUUGACUAAUGUACCACACAAGUAUUCGAUGUCAGGUGUUUUUGCAAAUGAUAUUAGUGACCACUGUGUGAUUGCUGCAGUCAGAAAUGCCAAAGUUCCAAAAUCCAAACCUCGUAUUCUGAUAAAACGUAAUAUGAGGGCCUUUGUUGAACAGGCGUUCUUCCGUGAUUUAUAUGAUCUUAACUGGGAUCGUAUUGAAUUAAUUAAUGAUGUAGAGACUGCAUGGCAAUUUUUCUCUGAAGGUUUAUCUUCCCUGCUUGAUAAGCAUGCUCCCUUCAGAAAAUAUAAGGUUAAGGGGAGGGAUAAUCCCUGGUUCACGCCCGAUUUAGCCGAUCUACUGCAUAAUAGAAAUCUUGCCUGGGCUAAGGCCAGAAAGACACAGUCUGAGGCAGAUAAACUUAUAUUUAGGCAACUCAGAAAUAGUUUUACCUAUCUUAUUAAAAAAGCAGAAUCUAGCUUUUAUCUCUCUGCAAUAACGAAAAAUUUAAACGACCCUAAAAAAUUUUGGAAAGUGAUCAAAUCUAUCUCAGCCACUGAAAAUCAUAGCGAACUCCCACCCUGUAUUGUUAAUGAUGCUACCACUGUAACUGACAGGGCAACUAUACUUGAUUGUUUUAAUACUCAUUUUUCUGCCUCUGGCUCCUUAUUCUCUCGGUCUUCUUCCACGAUUGCUAUGCCUGCCCUUAAUAUUGCGUCUUCUGCCCCAGAUGUUGGAAACAUGUCUCAAGGCCUUAUCCCUGCUGGUCAACCUUCCUUUGUUUUUAGGUUGUUUUCAGUGGAAGAGGUCCAUAGAGCUCUUUGCUCUCUUGAUAUCAGUAAAUCUGCAGGUCCAGAUCACUUGGAACCAUAUUUCUUAAAGUUAGCAGCUGAUUUUAUUGCCAAACCGCUCCAAUAUCUUUUUAACCUCACUAUCACCACAAAUUGUAUUCCUGAAAUUUGGAAAGUCGCUUACGUCCUUCCCCUUUUGAAAGGAGGGGACCCUACUUGCUUGAAUAAUUAUCGACCCAUCUCCAAGUUGUCCAUCCUGUCAAAGGUCCUUGAAGGUCUAGUAAACAAUCAGUUGAAAGAUUUUCUCCAUACUAACAACAUUCUCUCCCCAUACCAAUCCGGCUUUAGGAAACAACACAGCACAACUACAGCCUCACUCAAACUCACUAAUGAUAUAAUAGCCUGGCUGGAUCAAAAGAAAGUGUGCACAGCUCUCUUUGUUGACCUUUCUAAGGCCUUUGACACAGUGGAUCAUUCCAUUCUGAAGCAACGCCUGCUUGAUAUAGGUUUAUCUGAGCAGGCUGUUGGCUGGUUUAAUAAUUAUCUGUCUAAUAGAAAACAAUGUGUUUGUUUUGAAGGCAGCUCAUCCACACUGCUAAAUGUCUCUACUGGUGUGCCACAGGGCUCAGUUCUUGGCCCGAUUCUGUUUGUUAUUUAUGUAAAUACAUUGGGCAGUAACGUCCCAAAUGCCAAAUUUCAUUUUUAUGCUGAUGACACAGUUAUAUACUGUUGUGGCACCACUCUUGCCGAAGCCCUUGGCAACUUACAAAUUGCUUUUAACCUUGUGGAAAAUCAGCUCAUUGAACUUAGACUUGUCUUGAAUGCCGCCAAAACCAAACUGAUGAUAUUUUCCAAUGGCAGAAAAGUGCCUGUGUCUCCACCCAGCAUUUUGUCAUUGCAAGGGUAUGAAAUUGAGCUUGUGAACUGUUACAAGUAUCUCGGCAUUUUAAUUGAUGAUCGACUUUCUUUUAAACCACAUGUAGAAAAUCUGGUAAAAAUAUUAAGAGUGAAACUGGGAUUCUUCUUCCGUCACAAAUCUUGUUUUUCUUUUUUUACCAGAAAAAAGUUGAUUGCUACCACUUUCCUCCCUGUACUUGAUUACAGUGAUCUCUUAUAUAUGAAUGCCCCAGCAAACUGUCUGCGUCCUCUAGACACUGUAUAUCAUGGUGCCUUAAGGUUUGUCACUGGUUGUAAAGCCCUCACUCACCGCUGCAUCUUAUAUGCUCGAGUUGAGUGGCCAUCUCUGGCAGCACGCCGCCUUAUACAUUGGCAUAUUUUUAUUUAUAAAGCUAUCUUGGGUCUGCUCCCCCACUACUUAUGUAAGUACAUCUUUAAAUCCCAGAGCAAUUACUGCUUACGUUCAAAUGAGCUUUAUUUAUUAAUUAUGCCCAAAGUAAACACUGAAUUUGGUAAGCACUGUUUUAAGUUCGCUGCACCUGCUGCUUGGAAUGUACUGCAAAAAACCCUAAAGUUAAAGGAGCUCAUAAACCUUGACACUUUGAAGACUCGUGUGAGAGAAAUUGGAGCGGCUUCAUACCACACUUGUUCUUGUUUUGGUGGGAAUCCGGAGCUUUAGUCCUGUUGCCUUAUCUUAAGGGAACAGGGAACUUAUCUUGUUUGAUCUGUGUUAUGUGAUUUGUGUGUGUCUUGUGACUGUUUGACAUUUUGUAUGCUGCUGUCUUGGCCAGGCUUCCCUUGCAAAAGAGGUCAUUGUAUCUCAACGGGACCGACCUGGUUAAAUAAAGGCAAAUAAAAAAAUAAAGGUGACUAAAUUGGCAGCACUGCUAAAGAAAGUCCUGGAGAUCAUCAGGUCCAGUCAUGUGUGCGGCGAAUCGGAACUGAACUGGGUUCAGUUCUUAGACGGAGCCGUCUACCACAACCUGCAGAAAGCCAAAGACCUGAUUCAGCAGGACAGCUAGUGUGUCUGUGCAGCUAAAAGUGUGUGUUG
This is an RNA transcript of Pleuronectes platessa (European plaice), 3709 nucleotides long. It is a transcript of the gene named cyclin D-type binding-protein 1, with no coding region annotated. NCBI's taxonomy places the organism in Eukaryota, Metazoa, Chordata, Actinopteri, Pleuronectiformes, Pleuronectidae. The transcript has 2 exons. The record is from RefSeq and is a predicted model, not a curated record.